RNAcentral lists this ribosomal RNA (301 nucleotides) under uncultured bacterium. Its description in RNAcentral is "partial 16S ribosomal RNA". It matches the Rfam family "Bacterial small subunit ribosomal RNA", at positions 509 to 807 of the family's 1533-position model. The record is from RNAcentral.
CAGCCGCCGCGGGAAUACGAGGGGGGCAAGCGUUGUUCGGAAUUAUUGGGCGUAAAGGGCUCGUAGGCGGUUUGUCGCGUCGGGGGUGAAAACCAGCAGCUUAACUGCUGGCCUGCUUUCGAUACGGGCAGACUUGAGGCAUUCAGGGGAGAACGGAAUUCCUGGUGUAGCGGUGAAAUGCGCAGAUAUCAGGAGGAACACCGGUGGCGAAGGCGGUUCUCUGGGAAUGUUCUGACGCUGAGGAGCGAAAGUGUGGGGAGCGAACAGGAUUAGAUACCCCCGUAGUCCCUGUCUCUUAUAC